GUCAAUCAACCACGUAAAGUCCUUUGGCUUCUUUGGCCUGAGUUGGUUAUUCUGCAAUAAACAAGAUUAAUCAGAAUCCAAUCAACACCAAGAAUUCGAAACCCUAGAUUUAUGAAGAAAUCGCACCUGAUCUCCAUUCUCCAUUGUUGCUUGUUGCAGAGACGUUCGCGAUAGCUUUGUUUCUUUGCGCGCCGAAGCCAAAACUUUUGCUCUAUUCUUUAUAAGCUAACUAGUGUAGGCCCCAUGCUACGCACGGAAAUAAUUUUUCUUGCGAAAAAAAAAAUCUUAGUUAUAUAUAUAAACUGUUAAAA
This 311-nucleotide long non-coding RNA is filed under the name Brassica napus (rape). RNAcentral's name for it is "long non-coding RNA (BNAP_LNC004972)". The record is from RNAcentral. Lineage: Eukaryota; Viridiplantae; Streptophyta; Magnoliopsida; Brassicales; Brassicaceae.